UACGUAGGGUCCGAGCGUUGUCCGGAAUUACUGGGCGUAAAGAGCUCGUAGGUGGUUUGUCGCGUUGUUCGUGAAAACUCACAGCUCAACUGUGGGCGUGCGGGCGAUACGGGCAGACUAGAGUACUGCAGGGGAGACUGGAAUUCCUGGUGUAGCGGUGGAAUGCGCAGAUAUCAGGAGGAACACCGAUGGCGAAGGCAGAUCUCUGGGCCGUUACUGACGCUGAGGAGCGAAAGCGUGGGGAGCGAACAGGA
This 254-nucleotide ribosomal RNA is filed under the name uncultured bacterium. RNAcentral describes it as "partial 16S ribosomal RNA". It matches the Rfam family "Bacterial small subunit ribosomal RNA", at positions 524 to 777 of the family's 1533-position model. The record is from RNAcentral.